UACGGAGGAUGCGAGCGUUAUCCGGAUUUAUUGGGUUUAAAGGGUGCGUAGGCGGUCCGUUAAGUCAGCGGUGAAAUUGCGGGGCUCAACCCCGUCGAGCCGUUGAAACUGGCAGACUUGAGUUGGCGAGAAGUACGCGGAAUGCGCGGUGUAGCGGUGAAAUGCAUAGAUAUCGCGCAGAACUCCGAUUGCGAAGGCAGCGUACCGGCGCCAGACUGACGCUGAGGCACGAAAGCGUGGGGAUCGAACAGG
RNAcentral lists this ribosomal RNA (252 nucleotides) under uncultured bacterium. RNAcentral describes it as "partial 16S ribosomal RNA". It matches the Rfam family "Bacterial small subunit ribosomal RNA", at positions 524 to 776 of the family's 1533-position model. The record is from RNAcentral.